GUGCGUAAAGUGUCCGCCGUACGGGGAGUUGACGGCGGAACGAAAAGAAAAAGCGUUUUUCGGUUUUUCUUGCGGUGCGGCUUUCGCAUCCCGCUG
Molecule: non-coding RNA, 96 nt
Filed under: human gut metagenome
Description: THF riboswitch
Rfam family: THF (Tetrahydrofolate) riboswitch aptamer
About the family: THF riboswitch presents a pseudoknot that joins P1-P2 and the loop of P3 and two THF binding.
Source: RNAcentral